This 253-nucleotide ribosomal RNA is filed under the name uncultured bacterium. RNAcentral's name for it is "partial 16S ribosomal RNA". It matches the Rfam family "Bacterial small subunit ribosomal RNA", at positions 524 to 776 of the family's 1533-position model. The record is from RNAcentral.
UACAGAGGGUGCGAGCGUUAAUCGGAAUUACUGGGCGUAAAGCGCGCGUAGGCGGCUUUUCAAGUCGAUUGUGAAAUCCCCGGGCUUAACCUGGGAACUGCAGUCGAGACUGUCUAGCUAGAGUAUGGGAGAGGGAAGUGGAAUUUCAGGGGUAGCGGUGAAAUGCGUAGAUAUCUGAAGGAACAUCAGUGGCGAAAGCGACUUCCUGGACCAAUACUGACGCUCAUGUGCGAAAGCGUGGGGAGCAAACAGG